RNAcentral lists this ribosomal RNA (406 nucleotides) under uncultured bacterium. RNAcentral describes it as "partial 16S ribosomal RNA". It matches the Rfam family "Bacterial small subunit ribosomal RNA", at positions 30 to 526 of the family's 1533-position model. The record is from RNAcentral.
AUUGAACGCUGGCGGCAGGCCUAACACAUGCAAGUCGAGCGAGAGGCGGACGGGUGAGAAAUGUCUGGGAAACUGCCCGAUGGGGGGGGAUAAAUACUGGAAAAGGUAGCUAAUACCCCAUACCAUCAGAUGUGCCCAGAUGGGAUUAGCUAGUUGGUGGGGUAACGGCUCACCUAGGCGACGAUCCCUAGCUGGUCUGAGAGGAGGACCAGCCACACUGGAACUGAGAAACGGUCCAGACUCCUACGGGAGGCAGCAGUGGGGAAUAUUGCACAAUGGGCGCAAGCCUGAUGCAGCCAUGCCGCGUGUGUGAAGAAGGCCUUCGGGUUGUAAAGCACUUUCAGCGGGGAGGCGUUACCCGCAGAAGAAGCACCGGCUAACUCCGUGCCAGCAGCCGCGGUAAUUC